Diospyros lotus (date-plum) is the source of this 1018-nucleotide long non-coding RNA. RefSeq lists it as uncharacterized. The transcript is spliced from 3 exons. The record is from RefSeq and is a predicted model, not a curated record. NCBI's taxonomy places the organism in Eukaryota, Viridiplantae, Streptophyta, Magnoliopsida, Ericales, Ebenaceae.
UUUUGAUAUUAGGCAAAGCUAACACAAAUUUAUCCCUCUUUCCCCCUCCCGCAAUCGGCCAAAACCCUUUUCCCGCUCGACGCCGCCGUUGCCUGAUUGCCGCCGCAGCUAUGAUCCAUUGUCCUUGCGACGAUAUGUUAUGCUAUAUAUAUGGAGGAAUUCUGGAAGGGUGCUGAUUCAACUAUUUUCGACGUUUGAGUAGAAGACAUACAAGAAUCUAUAAGUGUCCUGCACGCGCAAUGAGCCCAGCUUGAAAAGGAUUUUCUGGAAUUCUCCUGCAUUUAGGUAUGUACCCUGUGAGUGAUGGGGUACUAAUCACUCCCUCCGGGUGGUGGGCGAUCACCCCAAUUUAUUUUUUAUUUUUUACUUCAAUAUACAUACAUGAAGGAGAAUGGGAUAGAAAGGGUUUAUGAGGUUCUGGGACUAUUUGCGUUUGCAUUAUGUGUUUAAUUUAUGUGCAUUUGACAUGUUUGUUAGAUGAUGUAUAUAUUGUUUGUUGGACUUGAUAUUGGUUGUUCGAUGAAUUAUAAUCUUAGCUACUCGUAAUAGAGGUGAUAAGCUAUGUGUACAUGCCAUGAUGCCAUUCUCAUUUGUAAUUCAUCCUGCAAUUUUCUAAUCUGAUCUUGUGAAUCGCUUUGGAAGUGCACAGCUGGAUAGCCUUGCUUACUUAGCAAUAGGAGGGGCUUAUGAAAUUUUUAAUUACAUUCUCGCAUACGCCUGUGCACACACUCACAAGCAUGCCACAAAACUGCUUUCUUCAUAUAAUUUGUUUAACAUUUGCUUGGUAAACAAUCAGCCCAGCACUUAAGAGAUUUUCCAUUUCAUUCAAUUUUCAAUUUUCUUUUCCAUACUGCUCUUGAUCUUCAAUCGUUUUUAUUGAUAAGUCUACUGUUUACACACUUUUUAUAUAUGUAUAUAUAUAUUUAAUCACAAAAAAAAUAAAAAAUCGUGUCAAACGCCAUUUUUAUUUUCAAAGUUUUCAAAACAAAGCAUAAUUAUCAAAUUGAGUUUUUAUUCU